Molecule: ribosomal RNA, 858 nt
Filed under: uncultured Propionibacteriaceae bacterium
Lineage: Bacteria; Bacillati; Actinomycetota; Actinomycetes; Propionibacteriales; Propionibacteriaceae
Description: bacterial SSU rRNA
Rfam family: Bacterial small subunit ribosomal RNA
Source: RNAcentral
UAGGGUGCGAGCGUUGUCCGGAUUUAUUGGGCGUAAAGGGCUCGUAGGCGGUUGAUCGCGUCGGAAGUGGAAACUUGAUGCUUAACGUUGAGCGUGCUUUCGAUACGGGUUGACUUGAGGAAGGUAGGGGAGAAUGGAAUUCCUGGUGGAGCGGUGGAAUGCGCAGAUAUCAGGAGGAACACCAGUGGCGAAGGCGGUUCUCUGGACCUUUCCUGACGCUGAGGAGCGAAAGCGUGGGGAGCGAACAGGCUUAGAUACCCUGGUAGUCCACGCUGUAAACGGUGGGUACUAGGUGUGGGGUCCAUUCCACGGAUUCUGUGCCGUAGCUAACGCAUUAAGUACCCCGCCUGGGGAGUACGGCCGCAAGGCUAAAACUCAAAGGAAUUGACGGGGCCCCGCACAAGCGGCGGAGCGUGCGGAUUAAUUCGAUGCAACGCGAAGAACCUUACCUGGGUUUGACAUGGAUCGGGAGCUUCCAGAGAUGGUUGUGCCUCUUUUGGGGUCGGUUCACAGGUGGUGCAUGGCUGUCGUCAGCUCGUGUCGUGAGAUGUUGGGUUAAGUCCCGCAACGAGCGCAACCCUCGUCCACUGUUGCCAGCAAUUCGGUUGGGGACUCAGUGGAGACCGCCGGGGUCAACUCGGAGGAAGGUGGGGAUGACGUCAAGUCAUCAUGCCCCUUAUGUCCAGGGCUUCACGCAUGCUACAAUGGCCGGUACAGUGAGUUGCGACAUCGUAAGGUGGAGCGAAUCUCAAAAAGCCGGUCUCAGUUCGGAUUGGGGUCUGCAACUCGACCUCAUGAAGUCGGAGUCGCUAGUAAUCGCAGAUCAGCAACGCUGCGGUGAAUACGUUCCCGGGGCUU